RNAcentral lists this ribosomal RNA (426 nucleotides) under uncultured bacterium. RNAcentral describes it as "bacterial SSU rRNA". It matches the Rfam family "Bacterial small subunit ribosomal RNA", at positions 354 to 796 of the family's 1533-position model. The record is from RNAcentral.
GUAACGAAUCUUCCGCAAUGCGCGCAAGCGUGACGGAGCAAUGCCGCGUGCAGGAUGAAGCCCUUCGGGGUGUAAACUGCUGUCAGGGAUUAGGAACACAAUGACCAAUCCCAAAGGAAGAGACGACUAACUCUGUGCCAGCAGUCGCGGUAAUACAGAGGUCUCGAGCGUUAGUCGGAUUCAUUGGGCUUAAAGCGUACGUAGGCGGGCCUGCAGGCGUCGUGUGAAAUCCCCCGGCUCAACCGGGGAAUUGCACGGCGAACCGCAGGCCUUGAGACAAGUAGGGGCGGUCGGAACGAUAGGUGGAGUGGUGAAAUGCGUUGAUAUCUAUCGGAACGCCGAAGGUGAAGACAGGCCGCUGGGCUUGUUCUGACGCUGAGGUACGAAAGCGUGGGGAGCGAACGGGAUUAGAAACCCCUGUAGUCC